Molecule: small nucleolar RNA, 103 nt
Organism: Nycticebus coucang (slow loris)
Lineage: Eukaryota; Metazoa; Chordata; Mammalia; Primates; Lorisidae
Product: small nucleolar RNA U13
Exons: 1
Source: RefSeq, a predicted model, not a curated record
ACAUUUUUAUUUAAUAAAGUGUGACGAUUGGGUUUUUAUGCGCAUGCGUGAGAUGUGCCUUCCACAAAUCUUGUUACAACAUCGGCACAUUACUCCUCUGACA